RNAcentral lists this ribosomal RNA (492 nucleotides) under uncultured bacterium. Its description in RNAcentral is "partial 16S ribosomal RNA". It matches the Rfam family "Bacterial small subunit ribosomal RNA", at positions 29 to 507 of the family's 1533-position model. The record is from RNAcentral.
AGUGAACGCUGGCGGUAGGCCUAACACAUGCAAGUCGAACGGCAGCACAGUAAGAGCUUGCUCUUACGGGUGGCGAGUGGCGGACGGGUGAGGAAUACAUCGGAAUCUACUUUUUCGUGGGGGAUAACGUAGGGAAACUUACGCUAAUACCGCAUACGACCUACGGGUGAAAGCAGGGGAUCUUCGGACCUUGCGCGAUUGAAUGAGCCGAUGUCGGAUUAGCUAGUUGGCGGGGUAAAGGCCCACCAAGGCGACGAUCCGUAGCUGGUCGGAGAGGAUGAUCAGCCACACUGGAACUGAGACACGGUCCAGACUCCUACGGGAGGCAGCAGUGGGGAAUAUUGGACAAUGGGCGCAAGCCUGAUCCAGCCAUACCGCGUGGGUGAAGAAGGCCUUCGGGUUGUAAAGCCCUUUUGUUGGGAAAGAAAAGCAGCAGGUUAAUACCCCGCUGUUCUGACUGUACCCAAAGAAUAAGCACCGGCUAACUUCGUG